This 497-nucleotide ribosomal RNA is filed under the name uncultured bacterium. RNAcentral's name for it is "partial 16S ribosomal RNA". It matches the Rfam family "Bacterial small subunit ribosomal RNA", at positions 28 to 507 of the family's 1533-position model. The record is from RNAcentral.
GAUGAACGCUGGCGGCGUGCCUAAUACAUGCAAGUCGAGCGAACAGACGAGGAGCUUGCUCCUUUGACGUUAGCGGCGGACGGGUGAGUAACACGUGGAUAACCUACCUAUAAGACUGGGAUAACUUCGGGAAACCGGAGCUAAUACCGGAUAAUAUGUUGAACCGCAUGGUUCAAUAGUGAAAGACGGUUUUGCUGUCACUUAUAGAUGGAUCCGCGCCGCAUUAGCUAGUUGGUAAGGUAACGGCUUACCAAGGCAACGAUGCGUAGCCGACCUGAGAGGGUGAUCGGCCACACUGGAACUGAGACACGGUCCAGACUCCUACGGGAGGCAGCAGUAGGGAAUCUUCCGCAAUGGGCGAAAGCCUGACGGAGCAACGCCGCGUGAGUGAAGAAGGUCUUCGGAUCGUAAAACUCUGUUAUUAGGGAAGAACAAAUGUGUAAGUAACUAUGCACGUCUUGACGGUACCUAAUCAGAAAGCCACGGCUAACUACGUG